UAGACACUAUCAUGAUUUUGGACAUUUUUGUAGUCAUGUUAAUGGUCUUACCAUUGCCACAUGCUCUCACGGCAAAUGGGUCUACUUUGGACAUGUGCCGCCCUAGUACCGGGAGUGGUUCUACGCCAAUCAGAGUGACUCCUGAAUAUGAAGUCCCGGUUUAUCUGGCAGAAUAUCCCGCCGUUUCCAACCUCAACUGUCUCGCGUACUGCCCAUCUUACAAUAACUGCCAGUCCACGUACUUUGAUGGACGCGCCAAGAAAUGUUACAUUCUUGAUAUUCAGCAAGAGACGACUGGGUAUGAGACGAGCAGCGUGGUGGAGAGUGGAGGGGUGGUGACCAAUCUGCAGGCGCAGGCGGUAAACGCACUCGUGGAGUCAACCUACAGCGAGUGUGCCAACUCUCCUUGUUCAGAGGCGGGCCGAUGUCGGGCCACGUGUGACACCAGGGAGGUCUACUGUGUAGGCGACCUGUCGGACUGUGAAGAGACGCCUUUUUCUAACAUAUACGAGUGGACCACGACGACCUCCAAGAGUGUCGGCACUGAAACUGUGUUUACUAUUUCUUACACCAAAAAGAAAGGAGUCGAAACAGGUCUGUACCUCAAAAUGGAGUGGGACCACGAGAUCAGCGGUAAACACGGCGCAUGGGUGCACGUACUGGGUCUUCAUGAUUGACGGAUCAGAAUGUGCUGAUCCUGGACGCAUCCGGUUCACAGAGUUUAAUCACGAGUCUAGAAACCACUUGA
Long non-coding RNA from Lingula anatina, 748 nucleotides. The record is from RefSeq and is a predicted model, not a curated record. Lineage: Eukaryota; Metazoa; Brachiopoda; Lingulata; Lingulida; Lingulidae.